CUUUACUGUAGCCUGGUAUUGGGUUCGGGCUUUGACUGCGCAGGAUAGGUGGGAGACUAUGAAGCUGCCCUUGUGGGGGCAGUGGAGUCAUCAGUGAGAUACCACUCUGUCAAGGCUAGAAUUCUAACCGUCUGCCGUUAUCCGGCGACGGAACAGUAUCAGGUGGGCAGUUUGACUGGGGCGGUCGCCUCCUAAAUGGUAACGGGGGCGCGCAAAGGUUCCCUCAGGCUGGUUGGAAAUCAGCCGAAGAGCGUAAAGGCAGAAGGGAGCUUGACUGCAAGAGCAACAACUCAAGCAGGGACGAAAGUCGGCCUUAGUGAUCCGACGGCGCUGAGUGGAAGGGCCGUCGCUCAACGGAUAAAAGUUA
Molecule: ribosomal RNA, 367 nt
Filed under: uncultured organism
Description: bacterial LSU rRNA
Rfam family: Bacterial large subunit ribosomal RNA
Source: RNAcentral